UCCCUGGUGGCUCAGAUGGUAGAGAAUCUGCCUGCAGUGCAGGAGACCUGGGUUUGAUCCCUGGGUGGGGAA
RNAcentral lists this transfer RNA (72 nucleotides) under Bos taurus (domestic cattle). It matches the Rfam family "tRNA". Rfam says of the family: Transfer RNA (tRNA) molecules are approximately 80 nucleotides in length. Their secondary structure includes four short double-helical elements and three loops (D, anti-codon, and T loops). RNAcentral also lists the same sequence under 2 other names. Lineage: Eukaryota; Metazoa; Chordata; Mammalia; Artiodactyla; Bovidae. The record is from Rfam by way of RNAcentral.